AGGUGAGAGCUUUGACCUGAAUGACCAGUGUAGAUUAUGUGUUGUGUUGUUGAAGUCCACUAUUUGUGUGAGAGCGACCAUUUAAGAGAGGAAAUGUUUGGGUUUUGGUCAAUUGUACUGAGAAGGAAACCUGGUGAAGAACCGUGGACAAGGAGAUGAAGGACAGUGGCCUGUUAUGGAAAACCAUUUUUAAAAAAGUCAAAAGAUGGGCAGCAGUGGCGCUUUCUCGUGAAAGCCUUAUGUUCUAUGUAGGAACAAAGAGGAUUAACUCAGACCCAUGCAUACCCCACAAGACAUGCCACCAGAGGUCUCUUCACAGUCCCGAAGUCCAGAACAGACUAUGGGAGGUGCACAGUACUACAUAGAGCCAUGAUGACUACAUGGAACUCUAUUCCAAAUCAAGCAACUCAUGCAAGAAGUAAAAUUAGAGUUACAU
Long non-coding RNA from Oncorhynchus keta (chum salmon), 436 nucleotides. RefSeq lists it as uncharacterized. The transcript has 3 exons. The record is from RefSeq and is a predicted model, not a curated record. NCBI's taxonomy places the organism in Eukaryota, Metazoa, Chordata, Actinopteri, Salmoniformes, Salmonidae.